RNAcentral lists this long non-coding RNA (1269 nucleotides) under Marmota monax (woodchuck). Lineage: Eukaryota; Metazoa; Chordata; Mammalia; Rodentia; Sciuridae. The record is from RNAcentral.
UGUAUGUAAAGCUUAAAAAAAUAAAUAAUGUAUGAAACCCAAUAUAGAAUAGAUAAAAACUAUGUUUUAUUAGAAACUUUGUUUAAUUUGUUUAAUUCAGUAUUAAGACAGAUCAGGAUUUGCUAUAAGAACAAGUAAACCCAACAUCUCAGCACAAAGAUUGGUUUCUUCCUCAUGCCACACGGUUCAGGGCAACUCAAGGAACUCUUCUUGGCAGAUCUCCUCCAUCUCUCCAACCAGUGAUCCAGAUAUCCACCCUCUUACCACUUGUGGUUCUAUCAGAAUAAAGCUCUAGCUUCCAUGGAAGGGGAAGAAAGAGUAUACACCACUUCUGCCCACAUCCCAGUGGCCCUUAGGAUCCAGUGACAUGCCUCACUUCAAAUGCAAAAGACUCUAGGAAAUGUAAUCUUUCUUGGCUGGAAAAGGGAAAUGAUACUCGUUUUGAUCUCUCUACCAUAAAAUCUGUGAUAUUGACUUCUUUACAGUUUAUUAGUCAGUUUUGUGUCACUGUAACAAAAUUAACUGAGAUAAUAAACUUAUAAGGAAGAAAGGUUUAUUUUGGCUCAAAGUUUCAUAGGUGUCAGUCCAUGGUCAUUUGGUGCUGUGGCUUUGAGCCUGUGGUGGCAUAAUAUAUCAUGGCAAGAACAUAUGGCAGAAGAGGGUUGUUCACCUCAUGAUGGCCAGGAAGCAAACACAGAGGAAGAAGAGGAGCCGUGGUCCUAAUGACCUAACUUCCUUCCAUUAGGAUCUACCUCCUAAAGGUUCCCCUGCCUUCCAGUAGAGCCAUGAGCUAAGGAGACAUUCCAGUUCUGAAUGACAGAAUAAAUCUAUCACUGCGAACAAGGAAAGAUAGAUCAAAAGAUAAUCAAAAGAUAGAUCAAAAAGAAUAAGAAAUUAGACAUUAUGGAUGAUACACAGUUGUAUUUCAAUCCCGGAACUGAUCUUUUUAAGCUGCAAAAUUUUUAAACAUUUGUAAGAUGCAAAUAUGAAGAAAAACUCCAGGUUGCCAAGGAAUAGAAGUUGGAAAUGUUGGCAGUAUUUGAAAACUUGUUUUGUUGUUGUAGUUGUUCUUCAAUUUCAGGAUUCUCUAGAGUUACACAGACAUAACAGGAGAGACUUUAGUGUCAAACUUGCUGACAACCAAGCAAAUGGCAGAAGAAACUGUGUUGGCCAGCUCCAAAAUGUUAAACGUUAGUAUACAACAUAUUCAAGAGUUCUCAUUAUAUUUUGUGUUAGCUUCCCAUCAUUGUAACAAAAUAUUUGAGAUAA